AUCCGAUUGACGAGUCCCGAAUAGGACGAAACGCGCGUCCUGGAU
RNAcentral lists this non-coding RNA (45 nucleotides) under Schistosoma curassoni. The record is from RNAcentral. Lineage: Eukaryota; Metazoa; Platyhelminthes; Trematoda; Strigeidida; Schistosomatidae.